GGGUGAGUAACACGUAUGGAACCUGCCCGUAGCAGGGGGAUAAGCGGAAGAAAUUCCGUCUAAUACCGCGUAAUAACUCCGAGAGGCAUCUCAUGGAGUUUAAAGGGUAACACCGGCUACGGAUGGCCAUGCGGCGCAUUAGCUAGUUGGCGGGGUAACGGCCCACCAAGGCGACGAUGCGUAGGGGUUCUGAGAGGAAGGUCCCCCACACUGGUACUGAGACACGGACCAGACUCCUACGGGAGGCAGCAGUGAGGAAUAUUGGUCAAUGGGCGCGAGCCUGAACCAGCCAAGUCGCGUGAGGGAAGACGGUCCUAUGGAUUGUAAACCUCUUUUGUCGGGGAGCAAAAGACGUCACGUGUGGCGUUCCGAGAGUACCCGAAGAAAAAGCAUCGGCUAACUCCGUGCCAGCAGCCGCGGUAAUACGGAGGAUGCGAGCGUUAUCCGGAUUUAUUGGGUUUAAAGGGUGCGCAGGCGGAAGAUCAAGUCAGCGGUAAAAUUGAGGGGCUCAACCUCUUCGAGCCGUUGAAACUGGUUUUCUUGAGUGAGCGAGAAGUAUGCGGAAUGCGUGGUGUAGCGGUGAAAUGCAUAGAUAUCACGCAGAACUCCGAUUGCGAAGGCAGCAUACCGGCGCUCAACUGACGCUCAUGCACGAAAGUGUGGGUAUCGAACAGGAUUAGAUACCCUGGUAGUCCACACAGUAA
RNAcentral lists this ribosomal RNA (704 nucleotides) under uncultured bacterium. RNAcentral's name for it is "bacterial SSU rRNA". It matches the Rfam family "Bacterial small subunit ribosomal RNA", at positions 104 to 805 of the family's 1533-position model. The record is from RNAcentral.